UGUUUCUGUGAUGAUAUCUUGGCUCCCUCUUCUGAACUUUCUGUGGAAGCUUGCCACUGUUACCCAAUUCUUGUCUGAGAUUCG
This is a small nucleolar RNA of Melanotaenia boesemani (Boeseman's rainbowfish), 84 nucleotides long. RefSeq annotates it as small nucleolar RNA SNORD100. Lineage: Eukaryota; Metazoa; Chordata; Actinopteri; Atheriniformes; Melanotaeniidae. The transcript has a single exon. The record is from RefSeq and is a predicted model, not a curated record.